Molecule: long non-coding RNA, 717 nt
Filed under: Brassica napus (rape)
Lineage: Eukaryota; Viridiplantae; Streptophyta; Magnoliopsida; Brassicales; Brassicaceae
Description: long non-coding RNA (BNAP_LNC025285)
Source: RNAcentral
GUUGAACUGAAGAGAAGAUAGAGCUUGUACAAUAAUAGGGCAAGCUCUAGAAGAUGUCCAGAAGAGUUCAAUUAAGCUUCAGAAGUGUUCUGAAGUAGUUAUCUUGUGAAGUUAAGUCUAGGAAAGACUUAGACUGAUCAUGUGAAGGCUUUGGAGGAGUUUGGGAGAAGAUGGCAGUAUGGUGUAAAGCUAGGGCAUUCAGUACGGCCAUGUACGGCCUAGGGCAAGCCAUGAAGAUGUCUGGUGCAAUCAAGAGGGAAGAUAGGGCAAUGUACAAAGAUAGGGCAAGUGGUACGGACAGGAGGUCCGUACCAACGACCGUACAGCCCACUCCUCUCGCCCAAGUCAUCCGGUUAAGCCCAAAUCAAGAUGUGCAAUGUGAGGGCGGUUUACUUUGAUCCAAUCCUUUCCUUAUGUCCGUUGGGGAGUCUUGGAGGCAAAGGAAGAAUCAAAUGGAUAAGGUGAGCUGUUGGUAUGAGCUGGAAAGGUAAAGGUGCUUUACCUUUACAGCCUUGACUCAUCUGAUCCAUCCAAUUCAAAUGAAGCAAUCUGAGCCCUCCAUUCAGUCCAACCACGACCAGCUAGCACCAGAACAUCAAAGACCAGCUUCCUCUCAUCCUAACCAUCCAUUUAUCUUUAAUUUACAGCCUUAGGAUCUAGUUUUAUGAUCUGAGUUGUGUAAAGGCAUAAAUAAGCCUCUUAGGAUCAUUUUGUAAC